RNAcentral lists this small RNA (29 nucleotides) under Bombyx mori (domestic silkworm). RNAcentral's name for it is "ovarian small RNA-8073". Lineage: Eukaryota; Metazoa; Arthropoda; Insecta; Lepidoptera; Bombycidae. The record is from RNAcentral.
UGACAUACGUACCUCUUGAUUUUGACGAC